This 83-nucleotide transfer RNA is filed under the name Faecalibacterium prausnitzii. RNAcentral describes it as "tRNA-Leu". It matches the Rfam family "tRNA". From Rfam's summary of the family: Transfer RNA (tRNA) molecules are approximately 80 nucleotides in length. The record is from RNAcentral. Lineage: Bacteria; Bacillati; Bacillota; Clostridia; Eubacteriales; Oscillospiraceae. RNAcentral also lists the same sequence under 2 other names.
GCGGGAGUGGCGGAAUGGCAGACGCGCUGGUUUUAGGCACCAGUUCCGAAAGAGUGAGGGUUCGACCCCCUUCUCCCGCACCA